Long non-coding RNA from Bacillus rossius redtenbacheri, 3614 nucleotides. RefSeq lists it as uncharacterized. The transcript is spliced from 2 exons. The record is from RefSeq and is a predicted model, not a curated record. NCBI's taxonomy places the organism in Eukaryota, Metazoa, Arthropoda, Insecta, Phasmatodea, Bacillidae.
UAAUGCAGUCUGGUAGUGGCUAGGUGAAGUGUGUAUGAUCUGCUAUACAGAAACGUGUCGUUUGCAUAGCACAUAGCAGCCUAACUUCACUAGGCGGUGUUCGGGGCGUGGCAAAUCUCUAGAAGGCUAUAUAUGUUAAAUAGAACAGGGCCUAGAAUACUGCCCUGUGGUACGCCUGCUCUUAUUUGUUUGAUGUCAGACAUAGUUCUUUAAGUUGAUACUGAAAACGUUCUGUCUUCUAGGUAGGACGCGACUAGCUUGGUAUAGCAGACCAGGAAAUUAGUUUGAUAUAGUUUGUAUAGAUUAGCCCCGCGUGAUAAACUCUGUCGAAGGCUUUUUCUACGUCUAAAAACGUCGCAACUACAUAAUCUUUUACGUUGAAGGCGCUUGUUAUCUCUUCAGUGAGGCGUAUGAGUUGGUGCACUGUCAAGUGAUUACUGCGAAAAAUCGAAUGGCCUAAGUGUACAGGCCUGCCCGAUCCGCGGACGAAUAUUUUCACGUUCUGCGCGCAUACUUUUCGUUGGUGAUACUGCCGACGAGCGCGGGUUUGAAUGGUAGUUUGAUGAUAUGAAUUGACAAACUGCUAGACUGUGUGUAAUAUAGUUACCCAAAUAACACUAAAACAACAAAAAUGAAUUAAAUAAUAAAUAACCAUCUCUUUUAAAACUAUAACGUGUCAGAACUGAGUGUUAUUGUGCAAACAAAGACUAAUUUUAGCAAAGAUUAUUGCACGAAGUAAGGAAGGUAGGGUUAUAUGAAUAGUCAAAAUAAGUUUUUAUAGCAACUGAUCUUGAGAAAAUGAUUUUUUUGUUUGUGUAGGCCUCAACUUUGACAGCUGAGUAAAGUUUAUUUAAACAAAGGCACAGCAUUUCAAUAAGUGUUUUAUUUUUUAAUGAAUUUCUGAAUUAUAACCUUGUCACAAAUUUUUAUGUAGGAUACAUACAGAUGCAAGUUUAUUAUAAACUGAACUAUUAGUAUUAAUGUUUAUACGUUUCAUUUAGAAAAUAAAUUUAGCUCAUAUUGUUACAUGAAUUAAUAUAUCUGAUACGCUUACUUGCGUUAUUAAAAUAACUUGCAUUAACUUCGGAACAAUUGUAACGUGUCCCAAAUUUUCGGUUGUAAACGCAAACCAAAUAUUUUCAUUUAAUUAUAUUAUUAAUUGAUGUCAUGUUAUGUUGAUAGAACUAACAAAAAACGGCGAAAUAUAAAUUCAAAUUUUUGAUAUUCGUGCUUUAUUGUUUGGCUAUUUAUUUUGGCAAUUUUUCAUAGUUUAAGCACUUAUGAAAAUAUUUACAUAAAAUUCUUAUAAAUGUUUUUUGAGAUUCUUUAAUUAUGUGUGAUGAUUCUGCUAAUAGUUGUUGAGAUAAUUGAGGUAGAUUACCGGUAUUUUACCAUUGGUUUUGUAUUUUGUAUUACGUUAGCUACUUUUAAAAUACUUUUAAGUCAUUUGGAUGGUUGGUUAAGUUUUGUUAGCUUAAUUUAAAACAUUGUUUAAUCGUGUGAAUGGCUGGAGGGAUAAGGUAAUUUAAUUUCGAACACUGUUCAAUUAUUUGAAUGAUUGGUUGUAUACAAUAUUCAUUUAAAAUACUGUAUAUUGGUGUAAAUGUUUGGGUAAGUUACGUUAGCCACAUUAAAAAUACUUAACGGCGUUCUUCGGGAUAGGUGUUAUUCAAAAAACCAUUAAAUGUUCUUAAUGGAGAACCUUCUCUAGAAAAUUAGCAUUACUUGAAAUAGGGAUAACAAUCUGCAGGUAGAGAAGUAAAGAUUGUGUUAGGUAAGUUCCGGGAAGAGGAGUGGCAGAUUUUGCAUUUAAAACUGCAGAAUAAAAAGUACGAAUUUUUGAAAAAUUUAAAUAUUUAAGCUUUGUGAAACGAUUAAUAACCAUGCAACAUUUUUAAAUAAUCAAUAUUAAUAUUACAAGAGUGACAUAUUUUUAAUUAUAUAAUCUUGAUUUUUGAAAUAAAUGCUUUUUUUUUUCGGAUGAGGUUGUACUAACCAGCGAAAUGAUUUUUUUUCCGUAUCUAAACUACCGCGUUAUUAUUUUCCUGCCUAGUAUUUUGUUAGUACAAUAUAUAGUACACAAUAUAUAGUGCACAAAAUAAUUUAUUACGGUUGUGGCAAACAACAGUUAACUGGUGUCACUGCUACAAAAGUUUAACAUUAUUUAGCCAAACUUGUGUUGUGAAUGUAUUACACUGAAAUAAAUAAUAAAAUCACUUCAGGCUAUAUAAAAAAAGAUUGUCAAAAUUAAAUGAUAUCGUAGCUUUCGUCCAUUCGAAACCUAAAUUGGGCGGAGACAAAACAAAAUACAGAAAAAAACUUAUUUUGUAAUAAAUGAGGCAAUAAAAUUAGUUAUAGGUAUCUAAUUUCUUAAUUUAUUUACUUGAAUGGAAAUAAAUUUGCCAUUAGAAUCAUCAUUUGUUGAUAACCGCCGUUCUAACAAAAUGUAAAACUCAGAUUAACGUAUAUUUCCGUAUACAUAGCCUACUUUAGCAAAAUAUCUCCAGAGUGACGUCACAAAUUGCUAGCCAGUGAAAGAGAAAGGUGCGCAAAAGGAUACAUAUAUAACUUCACGAUGAUUCACCCGUUAUGUUCACAGUUGACAGAACAGAAGAACGAAUGAAUAUCAAGCAAUGAUUUGUGUAACAUUUUCUUAAGUGUUAUGAGUACGUAAUAAAUAUUCUCGCAGAAACUGUAUGGUGUUAUUAGACGCAGCGUCGCACUGCGUGGCUGCGACUGGUUGAUAAUCGCUGGCUCCUCUGUGACAUUGUGGGCAUUGGUGAAUCAAGCUUGUCGUGAAUGUCAGUGCGCUUGCAAACUGACUCCCCUGCUGCAGCUCAUACACCGGUCGUCACUGGAUUCUGAUGUACUUUGUAAUAAUUAAGAUAGUUUCUGAACCAGAACAGUUGAUAAGCUACGGUCCUGAAUCAAAAAAGGUAAAUUUAAAAUGUGUCGUAACUUUAUCUUUGAGCCUCAUUUAGAAAAUGUUAACAUACUCACCUUUCAUUGUUAGGUACAUAUUUUUUUACACAAUCCCGCAUAACCCUGCAAGUUAUAAAAAUUCUUCCAAUGUAUGAAUUUCCCAAUUACAUACAUAUUGAUAAUGCCGAAUGUGGACUUUAUAUAUAUAUACACAUGCAUACUUACACAUAUAUGUAUAAAAAUUGAAAGAAAAUGUUUGCUUCAAUGUCUCCCCUAUAAAUAAUAAAUGAAUUACCUAUAUGAUUAAAUAUCCGUGUUCUUAGUGGAUAUAACUAGGAAAAUCUGCAUAAUUUGUAUGUAUUUUGGUAGUUAUUAAAAAAGUACAAUUAAACUUACAAUAUUAUGAAUUGUCAUACCUCUAAUGUUAAAUUUUACUCUUGUACAGAUAGCACACUGUAUCUAAGUAACAUAAUUAAGAUGUCACAGAUAUAAUAAUUAAUACUUACUAAUUUUAUUCGACAAUGUGUUUCCGAUUCAUUUGACUUCUUGCAAAUGGGUUAUAAAUUAAGUAUAACUCCAGAGACGUACCAAAUUAGGUUACCUUGAGAAACUCAUGACGUCAGCGUGUAUGGUUUAUGUGUUAGGGAAAAUUUAUUCAAAUACUGUGUAUUAAAAAAGUGCAUGACAUGGUA